RNAcentral lists this long non-coding RNA (554 nucleotides) under Sus scrofa (pig). RNAcentral describes it as "lncRNA (ENSSSCG00030012023.1)". Lineage: Eukaryota; Metazoa; Chordata; Mammalia; Artiodactyla; Suidae. The record is from RNAcentral.
GGAGCUGGAGCUCAGCCUCUUGCGCGCAAGCACCAGGCACAACAGCACAACGGACACCCAGAAGCAUGCUGAUGAGAGGGAAGCGGGCUGCAGGAAAAGCUACCCAACUAUAAAUUCGGCCUCCAGUGGAGGAAAGGGGAUGAGGAAACUGAGACUCGGAGCCAUUGACUGCUUGUCCAGAGCAAUCAGGGGAGGCAAGAUCUGAACACCUGCUGCCAGGAGGGUCCUGUGAGCUUCUCCUCACCUGGAGAUCAUUCUUCACCUGCCGUGAACAAGAACUUGGAGUCCAGUAUCAUCUUUCCGGUGCCAGAAGGAUGGAGAGAGAGAUCAACAGGUGAACAGAUGAACAGAUAGGUGGAUAGGAAGGCCGCAGGCUCUAAGAAGUGGUGGAUCGCUGCUAUCAAGGAGCCGCCUCAUGCAGGGAUGGCCUGGGGCAGAAGAUGCAAAGGGAAGGAUGGGGUGGGGGGGCUGGAGGGGGGUUCUCUCCACCCCCUUCACCACUUUAGCCAGACCGCCUCCUCCUCUACGUCGGAUUAUAAAUUGAUUUUAUGAAC